RNAcentral lists this ribosomal RNA (253 nucleotides) under uncultured bacterium. RNAcentral's name for it is "partial 16S ribosomal RNA". It matches the Rfam family "Bacterial small subunit ribosomal RNA", at positions 524 to 776 of the family's 1533-position model. The record is from RNAcentral.
UACGAAGGGUGCAAGCGUUACUCGGAAUUACUGGGCGUAAAGCGUGCGUAGGUGGUUCGUUAAGUCUGAUGUGAAAGCCCUGGGCUCAACCUGGGAAUUGCAUUGGAUACUGGCGGGCUGGAGUACGGUAGAGGGUGGCGGAAUUCCUGGUGUAGCAGUGAAAUGCGUAGAUAUCAGGAGGAACAUCCGUGGCGAAGGCGGCCACCUGGACCAGUACUGACACUGAGGCACGAAAGCGUGGGGAGCAAACAGG